Molecule: ribosomal RNA, 492 nt
Filed under: uncultured bacterium
Lineage: Bacteria
Description: partial 16S ribosomal RNA
Rfam family: Bacterial small subunit ribosomal RNA
Source: RNAcentral
AGUGAACGCUGGCGGUAGGCCUAACACAUGCCAGUCGAACGGCAGCACAGUAAGAGCUUGCUCUUACGGGUGGCGAGUGGCGGACGGGUGAGGAAUACAUCGGAAUCUACUUUUUCGUGGGGGAUAACGUAGGGAAACUUACGCUAAUACCGCAUACGACCUACGGGUGAAAGCAGGGGAUCUUCGGACCUUGCGCGAUUGAAUGAGCCGAUGUCGGAUUAGCUAGUUGGCGGGGUAAAGGCCCACCAAGGCGACGAUCCGUAGCUGGUCUGAGAGGAUGAUCAGCCACGCUGGAACUGAGACACGGUCCAGACUCCUACGGGAGGCAGCAGUGGGGAAUAUUGGACAAUGGGCGCAAGCCUGAUCCAGCCAUACCGCGUGGGUGAAGAAGGCCUUCGGGUUGUAAAGCCCUUUUGUUGGGAAAGAAAAGCAGCAGGUUAAUACCCCGCUGUUCUGACGGUACCCAAAGAAUAAGCACCGGCUAACUUCGUG